RNAcentral lists this ribosomal RNA (490 nucleotides) under uncultured bacterium. RNAcentral's name for it is "partial 16S ribosomal RNA". It matches the Rfam family "Bacterial small subunit ribosomal RNA", at positions 30 to 507 of the family's 1533-position model. The record is from RNAcentral.
AUUGAACGCUGGCGGCAGGCCUAACACAUGCAAGUCGAACGGUAACAGGAAGAAGCUUGCUUCUUUGCUGACGAGUGGCGGACGGGUGAGUAAUGUCUGGGAAACUGCCUGAUGGAGGGGGAUAACUACUGGAAACGGUAGCUAAUACCGCAUAAUGUCGCAAGACCAAAGAGGGGGACCUUCGGGCCUCUUGCCAUCGGAUGUGCCCAGAUGGGAUUAGCUAGUAGGUGGGGUAACGGCUCACCUAGGCGACGAUCCCUAGCUGGUCUGAGAGGAUGACCAGCCACACUGGAACUGAGACACGGUCCAGACUCCUACGGGAGGCAGCAGUGGGGAAUAUUGCACAAUGGGCGCAAGCCUGAUGCAGCUAUGCCGCGUGUAUGAAGAAGGCCUUCGGGUUGUAAAGUACUUUCAGCGGGGAGGAAGGGAGUAAAGUUAAUACCUUUGCUCAUUGGCGUUACCCGCAGAAGAAGCACCGGCUAACUCCGUG